AUUGAACGCUGGCGGAAUGCUUUACACAUGCAAGUCGAACGGUAGAGGGGGCAACCCCUCGAGAGUGGCGAACGGGUGAGUAAUAUAUCGGAACGUGCCCAGUCGUGGGGGAUAACGUAGCGAAAGUUACGCUAAUACCGCAUACGAUCUAAGGAUGAAAGCGGGGGAUCGCAAGACCUCGCGCGAUUGGAGCGGCCGAUAUCAGAUUAGGUAGUUGGUGGAGUAAAGGCUCACCAAGCCAACGAUCUGUAGCUGGUCUGAGAGGACGACCAGCCACACUGGAACUGAGACACGGUCCAGACUCCUACGGGAGGCAGCAGUGGGUAAUUUUGGACAAUGGACGCAAGUCUGAUCCAGCCAUUCCGCGUGCAGGAUGAAGGCCCUCGGGUUGUAAACUGCUUUUGUACGGAACGAAAAGGUCUCUCUUAAUACGGGGGACUCAUGACGGUACCGUAAGAAUAAGCACCGGCUAACUACGUGCCAGCCGCCGCAGUAA
This 496-nucleotide ribosomal RNA is filed under the name uncultured bacterium. Its description in RNAcentral is "partial 16S ribosomal RNA". It matches the Rfam family "Bacterial small subunit ribosomal RNA", at positions 30 to 523 of the family's 1533-position model. The record is from RNAcentral.